ACUGCUCAGUAACACGUGGACAACCUGCCCUGAGGACUGGAAUAAUCCCGGGAAACUGGGGGUAAUUCCAGAUAUGUCAGAACUCCUGGAAUGGGUUCUGGCAGAAAGGCUCCGGCGCCUCAGGAUGGGUCUGCGGCCUAUCAGGGUAGUAGUGGGUGUAACGUACCUACUAGCCUACGACGGGUACGGGUUGUGAGAGCAAGAGCCCGGAGAUGGAUUCUGAGACAUGAAUCCAGGCCCUACGGGGUGCAGCAGGCGCGAAAACUUUACAAUGCGGGCAACCGCGAUAAGGGGACCUCGAGUGCUGGGUUACAAACCUGGCUGUUGGGCUGCCUAAAAAGCAGUCUAUAGCAAGGGCCGGGCAAGACCGGUGCCAGCCGCCGCGGUAACACCGGCGGCUCGAGUGGUAACCGCUAUUAUUGGGUCUAAAGGGUCUGUAGCCGGCCGACUAAGUCUCUUGGGAAAUCUGGCAUCUCAAGCGUCAGGCUGCCAGGGGAUACCGGUCGGCUUGGGACCGGGAGAGGUGAGAGGUACCUCGGGGGUAGGGGUGAAAUCUUGUAAUCCUCGAGGGACCACCAGUGGCGAAGGCGUCUCACCAGAACGGAUCCGACGGCAAGGGACGAAAGCUAGGGGCACGAACCGGAUUAGAUACCCGGGUAGUCCUAGCCGUAAACGAUACUCGCUAGGUGUCGGCCACGGUGCGACCGUGGUCGGUGCCGUAGGGAAGCCGUGAAGCGAGCCACCUGGGAAGUACGGCCGCAAGGCUGAAACUUAAAGGAAUUGGCGGGGGAGCAC
Molecule: ribosomal RNA, 795 nt
Filed under: uncultured Methanosaeta sp.
Lineage: Archaea; Methanobacteriati; Methanobacteriota; Methanomicrobia; Methanotrichales; Methanotrichaceae
Description: bacterial SSU rRNA
Rfam family: Archaeal small subunit ribosomal RNA
Source: RNAcentral